GACGAACGCUGGCGGCGUGCUUAACACAUGCAAGUCGGGCGGUAAGGCCCUUUCGGGGGUACACGAGCGGCGAACGGGUGAGUAACACGUGGGUGACCUGCCCUCAGCUCUGGGAUAAGCCUGGGAAACCGGGUCUAAUACUGGAUAUGACUCCAUGACGCAUGUUGUGGGGUGGAAAGCCUUGUGCGGCUGAGGAUGGGCCCGCGGCCUAUCAGCUUGUUGGUGGGGUGAUGGCCACCAAGGCGACGACGGGUAGCCGGCCUGAGAGGGCGACCGGCCACACUGGGACUGAGACACGGCCCAGACUCCUACGGGAGGCAGCAGUGGGGAAUCUUGCGCAAUGGGCGAAAGCCUGACGCAGCGACGCCGCGUGCGGGAGGAAGCUCUUCGGGGUGUAAACCGCUGUCAGGGGGAAGAACGGACCGGGAGGAAAUGCUCCGGUUUUGACGGUACCCCCAGAGGAAGCACCGGCUAACUCUGUGCCAGCAGCCGCGGUAAC
RNAcentral lists this ribosomal RNA (499 nucleotides) under uncultured bacterium. RNAcentral describes it as "bacterial SSU rRNA". It matches the Rfam family "Bacterial small subunit ribosomal RNA", at positions 28 to 524 of the family's 1533-position model. The record is from RNAcentral.